UAGUGAUUACCAUAUGAGGUGACAUCAUUGAGCGUGGUGGAUACAUUUGUAGUGAUUACCCUAUGAGGUGACAUAAUUGGGCGUGGUGGAUACAUUUGUAGUGAUUAUCAGAUGAGGUGACAUCAUUGAGCGUAGUGGAUACAUUUGUAGUGAUUACCCUAUGAGGUGACAUCAUUGAGCGUGGUGGAUGAAUUGGCGUCUCCGUUAUACUGUGAUGAAGGUAGUUUGCGUCAGCUGAAGACAUAUCUGAUAUACGCCUGAGGCUAUCGAGACUGCCAUACUACCGCGGGCUAAAGAUACAUCGAUCUUCGACUAAAUUCCAUGCCAAACGCAUAUAUAAAGGUAUCUGCCGAUAGGAAAUCAAUAUAAGUGGAUCAGACGCAGACAAGGAACAGGACGGUAUUAAGAUGUUGCGGCUAAUUUGCCUAUUACCAUGCCUUGUAGCCUUGACAACGGGUCGAAUGAUAUAUAAUCCAUACAAUGUGCAAAGAGUGAUGAAUCCCUAUCAAAACAACUACGGGUAUAACCCACUGGCGAAUAUAGCUGGCAAUGUACACCAACUGGGACAUCAUAGGAACAACUUUCGGGGGAAUGGUCAAGAGAUAAGCAGUCAAUUUAUAAGCGACAUACAAGAAAGAAACGAACAGAUGAUCAGCGACUUACGAUCGAGGGAAGAACAGCGGAUGAGUGACUUAAGGUCACAACAAGAGCAGCUGAUAAGCGAUCUAGGUGGAUCUGAAUUGGAACCUCGGCUCACACAACAAUGGUGGUGAAUUGAUAAAUACUAAACAAGCGAUUUAUUCUUCAAUACAAAGUAGUCCAAUCGUAUUCUUUAUGCAGAUUUUUCUCAAAUACCUUUUACUUAGUAAAUGAUAUAUUAAUUAUAAUAUAAUUGCAAUUAUAAACUGAA
Molecule: RNA transcript, 910 nt
Organism: Mizuhopecten yessoensis (Yesso scallop)
Lineage: Eukaryota; Metazoa; Mollusca; Bivalvia; Pectinida; Pectinidae
Exons: 5
Source: RefSeq, a predicted model, not a curated record